CCAAGUCCAAGUCUAAGUCAAGGGUUUUGAUAAGUCAAAGUUAAAAUGAUCCACUUAUCAUAAAAUCGAUCACUUUAAGAAUGAUUUUCCCGAGAGAAGGCAGGAUGAUUAUGUUUAGAUUAAGGUUUUCUUAGAUGACGAUAAUUAUGAGAUUUCAUGUGCACUAGUGAUGACAAGUUUGGAGACAUAAAAGAGUUGGGUCAUAGACUAAGAAUAAUAUAAUCAUAUAUGCUCAAGGAAACAAUACUUUGAGACAUUGAAGUUGAAAGAUAGUGGAGUCAUUCGACUCGCUAACAAUAAGGCUUGCAAAGUUGAUAGUGUUUGUACGAUUAGACUAAAUUUUUUUGAUAAUUGUGAGUUCCUUUUAUGCAAUGUGAGAUAUAUUCCUGAGAUUAAGC
This 398-nucleotide long non-coding RNA is filed under the name Lathyrus oleraceus (garden pea). RNAcentral describes it as "Pisum sativum (pea) long non-coding RNA (PSAT_LNC027144)". The record is from RNAcentral. Lineage: Eukaryota; Viridiplantae; Streptophyta; Magnoliopsida; Fabales; Fabaceae.